AACGAACGCUGGCGGCAUGCCUAACACAUGCAAGUCGAACGAGACCUUCGGGUCUAGUGGCGCACGGGUGCGUAACGCGUGGGAACCUGCCCUUAGGUUCGGAAUAACUCCCCGAAAGGGGUGCUAAUACCGGAUAAUGUCUUCGGACCAAAGAUUUAUCGCCUUUGGAUGGGCCCGCGUUGGAUUAGCUAGUUGGUAGGGUAAAAGCCUACCAAGGCGACGAUCCAUAGCUGGUCUGAGAGGAUGAUCAGCUACACUGGGACUGAGACACGGCCCAGACUCCUACGGGAGGCAGCAGUGGGGAAUAUUGGACAAGGGGCGAAAGCCUGAUCAAGCAAUGCCGCGUGAGUGAUGAAGGCCUUAGGGUUGUAAAGCUCUUUUACCCGGGAUGAUAAUGACAGUACCGGGAGAAUAAGCACCGGCUAACUCCGUG
This 433-nucleotide ribosomal RNA is filed under the name uncultured bacterium. RNAcentral describes it as "partial 16S ribosomal RNA". It matches the Rfam family "Bacterial small subunit ribosomal RNA", at positions 29 to 507 of the family's 1533-position model. The record is from RNAcentral.